UGCCUGGGGCAGGAGGGAGAAGAGGAACUAGGACUCUGUGCUUCAGGCCCCUGGGUCUGGCUCCAAGCUGCCUCCUCCUCCUCGGAGAAGCCCUCCAGGAAGUCCGUCUCCCUGCGCUCCUGCCCCUCUCCGCCUCCACGUGGCCUGGGUGGCUGGACCAACGUCGACGGGUAUCCCCGUGCCCAUCCCUCCACCUGGCGCUGUGGACUCGGAGACUUCCUCCCGACCUGAAACCCCCCUGGGACCCUUGUUGCUCCAGGAUGAGCUCCAUGUAUUUAGCUUGCGCCUUACUUUUUUAAAAAAUUUGUUUUUAUUCAAAAACAGAGGGAGAUCUUCAUCUGCUUGGUCAUCCCUACACGCCUGCCAACAUUCAGAGUUGGGCCCGGAUGAAGCCAGGAGCCCAGAAUUCAAUCCGGGCCUCCCACGUGGGUAGCAGGACCCAGGCUGUAAAGUGCUUCCUUGAAGUGAAAAGGUUAAAGUACUCAGUACGGAAAGAAGCAAAUCAUAAGCUGAGGUUGCUAAGAUCUAGAGUAAGAAUGACUCUUCCAUGCACGAACUGUGAAUAGGAAAAAGAAACCUGCUGGUUCCGCCGUCACACCUCCAGCUGCAAAGCGUACAGUGAGUGAGAAGUGCUUAGUGAAGAUGGAAAAGGCACCACGUUUGUGAGCAGGAAACAUGUUCCAACUGAUGGCAACGUGCCGUAGCAGAAAGCACUGCGCCUAAUUUAUAAAGCAAACCUGGUCAUCGGGAGGUAGGCAAGAACGGGAGAGAGGGCUCGGUGCCCUGGGACACGGCCCCCGAGCACGAGGUGGCACUACCGUACUCUCAACAUUGUCCCAGCGUUCAGAGAUGACAGGGACAGAGCUGUCCCCAGGGCCUGCCCCCUGCCAAGAGACCACUUGCAAACAGACCAAGACUGACAGACGCAUGUCAAGGUGAGAUUUGGGAGGCGAGAAAUUUGAGUAGGCGCGGUGGUGUGGCACAUUGAGCCGAAUAGAGUCCCGGGAACAUUCAGGCCUCUCACCCCGCUCGACACCCGCCUCCUCCGAGCUCCAGAGCUGGUAUUUCUGUCCUUGUUCCUAAAAUGUGACGUCUGCACCAGUCCUGUGAGCCAGGCCCUGUGCUAAGCGUUCAGUCGGCACCAUUUCCUGCCGGCCUCUGACUGCUAAGGCCACCACAGACCCGGGCUGCACAGCUUCAGUCUGAGUCCAGAGUGCAAACCUGAACUGCUGCCCCAGCGCUGGGCACACUGCAGAUCCCUGGUGGGCGUGUGGGCCACACUGCUCAGUAUGGAGCAUUGACCGUGGCGCCUCGUGACGCUUCCGGGAUUCGGCCACACCAUUCCACGCAGCCGUGGUUCAUUCCUUUUCACUGCUGUGUGGUAUUCCCCAGAUGGACACACUGUCAUUAUUUAUCCACCCUGCUGAAAAGGCGUGGUAAGAUCUGGCUGGUUUCCAGUUCAGGGCUCUACAAACAAUGCUGCUCUGAGCAUGCCAGAA
Oryctolagus cuniculus (rabbit) is the source of this 1499-nucleotide long non-coding RNA. RefSeq lists it as uncharacterized. Lineage: Eukaryota; Metazoa; Chordata; Mammalia; Lagomorpha; Leporidae. The record is from RefSeq and is a predicted model, not a curated record.